Molecule: ribosomal RNA, 462 nt
Filed under: Micrococcus luteus
Lineage: Bacteria; Bacillati; Actinomycetota; Actinomycetes; Micrococcales; Micrococcaceae
Description: bacterial SSU rRNA
Rfam family: Bacterial small subunit ribosomal RNA
Source: RNAcentral
AGAAGCGAGAGUGACGGUACCUGCAGAAGAAGCACCGGCUAACUACGUGCCAGCAGCCGCGGUAAUACGUAGGGUGCGAGCGUUAUCCGGAAUUAUUGGGCGUAAAAGAGCUCGUAGGCGGUUUUGUCGCGUCUGUCGUGAAAGUCCGGGGGCUUAACCCCGGAUCUGCGGGGGGUACGGGCAGACUAGAGUGCAGUAGGGGGAGACUGGAAUUCCUGGUGUAGCGGUGGAAUGCGCAGAUAUCAGGAGGAACACCGAUGGCGAAGGCAGGUCUCUGGGCUGUAACUGACGCUGAGGAGCGAAAGCAUGGGGAGCGAACAGGAUUAGAUACCCUGGUAGUCCAUGCCGUAAACGUUGGGCACUAGGUGUGGGGACCAUUCCACGGUUUCCGCGCCGCAGCUAACGCAUUAAGUGCCCCGCCUGGGGAGUACGGCCGCAAGGCUAAAACUCAAAGGAAUUGAC